GACAAACGCUGGCGGCGUGCUUAACACAUGCAAGUCGAACGGAAAGGCCCUGCUUUUGUGGGGUGCUCGAGUGGCGAACGGGUGAGUAACACGUGAGUAACCUGCCCUUGACUUUGGGAUAACUUCAGGAAACUGGGGCUAAUACCGGAUAGGAGCUCCUGCUGCAUGGUGGGGGUUGGAAAAUUUCGGCGGUUGGGGAUGGACUCGCGGCUUAUCAGCUUGUUGGUGGGGUAGUGGCUUACCAAGGCUUUGACGGGUAGCCGGCCUGAGAGGGUGACCGGCCACAUUGGGACUGAGAUACGGCCCAGACUCCUACGGGAGGCAGCAGUGGGGAAUAUUGCACAAUGGGCGGAAGCCUGAUGCAGCAACGCCGCGUGCGGGAUGACGGCCUUCGGGUUGUAAACCGCUUUCGCCUGUGACGAAGCGUGAGUGACGGUAAUGGGUAAAGAAGCACCGGCUAACUACGUG
RNAcentral lists this ribosomal RNA (468 nucleotides) under uncultured bacterium. RNAcentral describes it as "partial 16S ribosomal RNA". It matches the Rfam family "Bacterial small subunit ribosomal RNA", at positions 28 to 507 of the family's 1533-position model. The record is from RNAcentral.